CCAAUAGCGUAUAUUAAAGUUGUUGCAGUUAAAAAGCUCGUAGUUGAAUUUCGGGGUCAGUAGGUUGGUCGUGCCACUGGUACGUACUGGCCUCACUGAUUCCUCCUUCCUGAUGAGCCGUAAUGCCAUUAAUUUGGUGUUGCGAGGAAUCUGGACUGUUACUUUGAAAAAAUUGAGUGUUUAAAGCAGGCUAACGCUUGAAUACAUUAGCAUGGAAUAAUGAAAUAGGACGUUCGAUCUUAUUUUGUUGGUUUCUAAGAUUGACGUAAUGAUUAAUAGGGAUAGUUGGGGGCAUUAGUAUUCAAUUGUCAGAGGUGAAAUUCUUGGAUUUAUUGAAGACUAACUACUGCGAAAGCAUUUGCCAAGGAUGUUUUCAUUAAUCAAGAACGAAAGUUAGGGGAUCGAAGACGAUCAGAUACCGUCGUAGUCUUAACCAUAAACUAUGCCGACUAGGGAUCGGAUGAUGUUAAUUUUAAUGACUCAUUCGGCGCCUUACGGGAAA
Molecule: ribosomal RNA, 502 nt
Filed under: uncultured Glomeromycotina
Lineage: Eukaryota; Fungi; Glomeromycota
Description: SSU rRNA
Rfam family: Eukaryotic small subunit ribosomal RNA
Source: RNAcentral